Molecule: ribosomal RNA, 1499 nt
Filed under: Vibrio parahaemolyticus
Lineage: Bacteria; Pseudomonadati; Pseudomonadota; Gammaproteobacteria; Vibrionales; Vibrionaceae
Description: partial 23S ribosomal RNA
Rfam family: Bacterial large subunit ribosomal RNA
Source: RNAcentral
AACAUCUAAGUACCCCGAGGAAAAGAAAUCAACCGAGAUUCCGAAAGUAGCGGCGAGCGAAAUUGGACUAGCCCUUAAGCUUUACACGCGUUAGACGAACGGUCUGGAAAGUCCGACGAUACAGGGUGAUAGUCCCGUAGUUGACGACGUGUGUUCAGUGAAAUCGAGUAGGGCGGGACACGUGAUAUCCUGUCUGAAUAUGGGGGGACCAUCCUCCAAGGCUAAAUACUACUGACUGACCGAUAGUGAACCAGUACCGUGAGGGAAAGGCGAAAAGAACCCCUGUGAGGGGAGUGAAAUAGAACCUGAAACCGUGUACGUACAAGCAGUAGGAGCAGGCUUUGUCCUGUGACUGCGUACCUUUUGUAUAAUGGGUCAGCGACUUAUAUUCAGUGGCAAGGUUAACCAUCUAGGGGAGCCGUAGGGAAACCGAGUCUUAACUGGGCGUUCAGUCUCUGGAUAUAGACCCGAAACCAGGUGAUCUAGCCAUGGGCAGGUUGAAGGUUGAGUAACAUCAACUGGAGGACCGAACCGACUAAUGUUGAAAAAUUAGCGGAUGACUUGUGGCUAGGGGUGAAAGGCCAAUCAAACCUGGAGAUAGCUGGUUCUCCCCGAAAGCUAUUUAGGUAGCGCCUCGGACGAAUACUACUGGGGGUAGAGCACUGUUAAGGCUAGGGGGUCAUCCCGACUUACCAACCCUUUGCAAACUCCGAAUACCAGUAAGUACUAUCCGGGAGACACACGGCGGGUGCUAACGUCCGUCGUGGAGAGGGAAACAACCCAGACCGCCAGCUAAGGUCCCAAAUUACUACUAAGUGGGAAACGAUGUGGGAAGGCUCAGACAGCCAGGAUGUUGGCUUAGAAGCAGCCAUCAUUUAAAGAAAGCGUAAUAGCUCACUGGUCGAGUCGGCCUGCGCGGAAGAUGUAACGGGGCUAAGUAGUAAACCGAAGCUGCGGCAAUAUACUUUAGUAUAUUGGGUAGGGGAGCGUUCUGUAAGCGGUUGAAGGUGUGUGGUAACGCAUGCUGGACGUAUCAGAAGUGCGAAUGCUGACAUGAGUAACGAUAAAGGGGGUGAAAAACCUCCUCGCCGGAAGACCAAGGGUUCCUGUCCAACGUUAAUCGGGGCAGGGUAAGUCGACCCCUAAGGCGAGGCCGAAAGGCGUAGUCGAUGGGAAACGGGUUAAUAUUCCCGUACUUCUUACAAUUGCGAUGGGGGGACGGAGAAGGCUAGGUGGGCCUGGCGACGGUUGUCCAGGUUCAAGUGCGUAGGCUGAGAGAUUAGGUAAAUCCGGUUUCUCUUAAGGCUGAGACACGACGUCGAGCACCUACGGGUGUGAAGUCAUUGAUGCCAUGCUUCCAGGAAAAGCCUCUAAGCUUCAGAUUGUAAGGAAUCGUACCCCAAACCGACACAGGUGGUCGGGUAGAGAAUACCAAGGCGCUUGAGAGAACUCGGGUGAAGGAACUAGGCAAAAUGGUACCGUAACUUCGGGAGAAGGUA